AUUGAACGCUGGCGGCAUGCCUUACACAUGCAAGUCGAACGGCAGCACGGGAGCAAUACUGGUGGCGAGUGGCGAACGGGUGAGUAAAGUAUCGGAACGUGCCCAGUCGUGGGGGAUAACGUAGCGAAAGUUACGCUAAUACCGCAUACGAUCUAUGGAGGAAAGAGGGGGUUCGCAAGACAUCGCGCGAUUGGAGCGGCCGAUAUCGGAUUAGGUAGUUGGUGGGGUAAGGGCUCACCAAGCCGACGAUCUGGAGCUGGUCUGAGAGGACGACCAGCCACCCGGGGACUGAGACACGGCCCAGACUCCUACGGGAGGCAGCAGUGGGGAAUUUUGGACAAUGGGCGAAAGCCUGAUCCAGCCAUGCCGCGUGCAGGAUGAAGGCAUUCGGGUUGUAAACUGCUUUUGUACGGAACGAAAAGGUUUGGCCUAAUAAGCUGAGCUCAUGACGGUACCGUAAGAAUAAGCACCGGCUAACUACGUGCCAGCAGCCGCCGUAA
This 500-nucleotide ribosomal RNA is filed under the name uncultured bacterium. RNAcentral's name for it is "partial 16S ribosomal RNA". It matches the Rfam family "Bacterial small subunit ribosomal RNA", at positions 29 to 523 of the family's 1533-position model. The record is from RNAcentral.